RNAcentral lists this ribosomal RNA (352 nucleotides) under uncultured bacterium. Its description in RNAcentral is "bacterial SSU rRNA". It matches the Rfam family "Bacterial small subunit ribosomal RNA", at positions 527 to 881 of the family's 1533-position model. The record is from RNAcentral.
GGAGGAUCCGAGCGUUAUCCGGAUUUAUUGGGUUUAAAGGGAGCGUAGGCGGACGCUUAAGUCAGUUGUGAAAGUUUGCGGCUCAACCGUAAAAUUGCAGUUGAUACUGGGUGUCUUGAGUACAGUAGAGGCAGGCGGAAUUCGUGGUGUAGCGGUGAAAUGCUUAGAUAUCACGAAGAACUCCGAUUGCGAAGGCAGCUUGCUGGACUGUAACUGACGCUGAUGCUCGAAAGUGUGGGUAUCAAACAGGAUUAGAUACCCUGGUAGUCCACACAGUAAACGAUGAAUACUCGCUGUUUGCGAUAUACAGUAAGCGGCCAAGCGAAAGCGUUAAGUAUUCCACCUGGGGAGU